This 253-nucleotide unclassified non-coding RNA is filed under the name uncultured Alphaproteobacteria bacterium. RNAcentral's name for it is "contains 16S-23S intergenic spacer region". It matches the Rfam family "Bacterial small subunit ribosomal RNA", at positions 524 to 776 of the family's 1533-position model. The record is from RNAcentral. Lineage: Bacteria; Pseudomonadati; Pseudomonadota; Alphaproteobacteria.
GACAGAGGGACCUAGCGUUGUUCGGAAUGACUGGGCGUAAAGGGUGCGUAGGCGGCCAUUUAAGUAAGAUGUUAAAGCCCCAGGCUCAACCUGGGAAUCGCAUUUUAAACUGAGUGGCUAGAGUAUGAGAGAGGAGAGUGGAAUUCCUAGUGUAGAGGUGAAAUUCGUAGAUAUUAGGAGGAAUACCAGAGGCGAAGGCGGCUCUCUGGAUCAUAACUGACGCUGAGGCACGAAAGCGUGGGGAGCAAACAGG